This 81-nucleotide small RNA is filed under the name Mesonia maritima. RNAcentral describes it as "Flavo-1 RNA". It matches the Rfam family "Flavo-1 RNA". Lineage: Bacteria; Pseudomonadati; Bacteroidota; Flavobacteriia; Flavobacteriales; Flavobacteriaceae. The record is from RNAcentral.
GUUUUGCGUGAGCGAUAAUAGCGGCAUCCUUUUUUAUGUUUUGAAAACGUAAAAAAGAUAUAGCGGAUAGCGCGGCCGUUA